Molecule: long non-coding RNA, 2890 nt
Organism: Oncorhynchus tshawytscha (Chinook salmon)
Lineage: Eukaryota; Metazoa; Chordata; Actinopteri; Salmoniformes; Salmonidae
Source: Ensembl
GGUGUUAGAUUACUCAGCUGUUCUAGUGGUCUGAGGCAGGUGUUAGAUUACUCAGCUGUUCUAGUGGUCUGAGGCAGGUGUUAGAUUACUCAGCUGUUCGCGUGGUCUGAGGCAGGUGUUAGAUCACUCAGCUGUUCUAGUGGUCUGAGGCAGGUGUUAGAUUACUCAGCUGUUCUAGUGGUCUGAGGCAGGUGUUAGAUUACUCAGCUGAUCUAGUGGUCUGAGGCAGGUGUUAGAUUACUCAGCUGAUCUAGUGGUCUGAGACAGGUGUUAGAUUACUCAGCUGUUCUAUUGGUCUGAGACAGCAGGUGUUAGAUUACUCAGCUGUUCGAGUGGUCUGAGACAGGUGUUAUAUUACUCAGCUGUUCUAGUGGUCUGAGGCAGGAGGUAGAUCAAUCAGCUGUUCUAGUAGUCUGAGGCAGGUGGUAGAUUACUCAGCUGUUCUCGUGGUCUGAGGCAGGAGGUAGAUUACUCAGCUGUUCGCGUGGUCUGAGGUGUUAGAUUACUCAGCUGUUCUAGUGGUCUGAGGCAGGAGGUGUUAGAUCACUCAGCUGUUCGAGUGGUCUGAGGCAGGUGUUAGAUUACUCAGCUGUUCUAGUGGUCUGAGACAGGUGUUAGAUUACUCAGCUGUUCUAGUGGUCUGAGGCAGGUGUUAGAUUACUCAGCUGUUCGAGUGGUCUGAGGCAGGUGUUAGAUUACUCAGCUGUUCUAGUGGUCUGAGGCAGGUGUUAGAUUACUCAGCUGUUCUAGGGGUCUGAGGCAGGAGGUGUUAGAUUACUCAGCUGUUCUAGGGGUCUGAGGCAGGAGGUGUUAGAUUACUCAGCUGUUCUAGUGGUCUGAGGCAGGAGGUGUUAGAUUACUCAGCUGUUCUAGUGGUCUGAGGCAGGAGGUGUUAGAUCACUCAGCUGUUCUAGUGGUCUGAGGCAGGAGGUGUUAGAUUACUCAGCUGUUCUUGUGGUCUGAGGCAGGUGUUAGAUCACUCAGCUGUUCGCGUGGUCUGAGGCAGGUGUUAGAUUACUCAGCUGUUCUAGUGGUCUGAGGCAGGUGUUAGAUUACUCAGCUGUUCUAGUGGUCUGAGGCAGGUGUUAGAUUACUCAGCUGAUCUAGUGGUCUGAGGCAGGUGUUAGAUUACUCAGCUGUUCGCGUGGUCUGAGACAGGUGUUAGAUUACUCAGCUGUUCUAUUGGUCUGAGACAGCAGGUGUUAGAUUACUCAGCUGUUCUAGUGGUCUGAGGCAGGUGGUAGAUUACUCAGCUGUUCUAGUGGUCUGAGGCAGGUGUUAGAUUACUCAGCUGUUCUAGUGGUCUGAGGCAGGUGUUAGAUUACUCAGCUGUUCUAGUGGUCUGAGGCAGGUGUUAGAUUACUCAGCUGUUCUAGUGGUCUCAGGCAGGUGGUAGAUUACUCAGCUGUUCUAGUGGUCUGAGACAGGUGUUAGAUUACUCAGCUGUUCUAGUGGUCUGAGACAGGUGUUAGAUUACUCAGCUGUUCUAGUGGUCUGAGGCAGGUGUUAGAUUACUCAGCUGUUCUAGUGGUCUGAGGCAGGUGUUAGAUUACUCAGCUGUUCUAGUGGUCUGAGGCAGGUGUUAGAUUACUCAGCUGUUCUAGUGGUCUGAGGCAGGUGUUAGAUUACUCAGCUGUUCUAGUGGUCUGAGGCAGGUGUUAGAUUACUCAGCUGUUCUAGUGGUCUGAGACAGGUGGUAGAUUACUCAGCUGUUCUAGUGGUCUGAGACAGGUGUUAGAUUACUCAGCUGUUCUAGUGGUCUGAGGCAGGUGUUAGAUUACUCAGCUGUUCUAGUGGUCUGAGGCAGGUGGUAGAUUACUCAGCUGUUCUAGUGGUCUGAGGCAGGUGGUAGAUUACUCAGCUGUUCUAGUGGUCUGAGACAGGUGUUAGAUUACUCAGCUGUUCUAGUGGUCUGAGGCAGGUGUUAGAUUACUCAGCUGUUCUAGUGGUCUGAGGCAGGUGGUAGAUUACUCAGCUGUUCUAGUGGUCUGAGGCAGGUGGUAGAUUACUCAGCUGUUCUAGUGGUCUGAGACAGGUGUUAGAUUACUCAGCUGUUCUAGUGGUCUGAGGCAGGUGGUAGGUUACUCAGCUGUUCUAGUGGUCUGAGGCAGGUGGUAGAUUACUCAGCUGUUCUAGUGGUCUGAGACAGGUGUUAAAUUACAAGCGUUUUCAAUUGUAACGUUAAUAUUAUUACAUUGUGAUGUGUCGUGGAAUUAUCAGAAUUGGUUGGUAACAUUUGUAAGAUGUUUUAUAUCAAAUGUGUGUAGGUUAUUUCUCAUAAGAAUGUAUUUUGUUGUACUAUAGUGGUGGCCAUUGGCAGUUAUCUGUUCUAUGUCAGGACUAAGUUGCAUGGGCCGCAGAGAGGGGAGAGGUCAAAGUGUCAUCAUGUGUAAACAUGUCUUUUACUCCCUACCUUUCCCAGUGGGGAAAGGAAGGUUGCAGUGUCUGGAAUCAUUCUAUGCUCCCUCUUUGUUGACCUGUAGGGUCAGUCUCCUAUCUGUGUUUCCCUCUUAUGUUGUUUCUAUCUUAACCUUUAGCCUCACCCUCCUCUCCGUGAGUUUGUCCAAUAGUUUGUAUUUUGAGUGGGUUGUAUAUAAAUGACAAUUUGAUAUAUGCCUGUUGAUAUGGAGGAAUUGGUUUAUGGUUCUGGGGUUUGGGAAAGGAGACAAAGCUGAACGAUGAGUUAUGUCUAUGCUGUCUGACUAUGUGUGUCUUUGCUAUUAAAAGGAACUCAGUUGCAUUGUAAGGGGACUCUCAGAGAAUUCACUGGGGAGACACUGAAUUUAUCUGAGAGUCACAGGAUUGUGAUAGAGCUCGUAUAAUUAAAGAUGGACUUUUAUAACUAACUCUGACGUGUGUGUGUGGUUUGCUCCCAUGAUUUGGUAAAUAG